AUGGAAAAGAGACGGAAAGAAACAACCAAGACAACCAAUCGAUUCCCUUAUGACUUACCUCACAGCAAAGGGGAACAUCUAGCCAAACUCAUUGGAAGGAAAGCUCUCACCCAUUGUAACCUUAAUGGAUUAGCAGUCAGUGCUCUGUUAGACACUGGUGCUCAAGUGAGUAUGAUUGAUAGAGACUGGAAGAGUAAAUAUCUACCUGACACUCCUGUUAGGGCACUCAGCGACAUUAUAGGUGAUGAAGACGAGUUAAGGGUGUAUGCAGUGAAUGGUGACGCCCUCCCUUUUGAUGGCUGGGUUGCCCUUACAGUCAAUUUGAUGGGGAAUGAGGACCCUAAUCUGUCAAUCACUGUGCCUUUUCUUGUCAGCAGUCUUGCUCUGGAGAGACCACUGUUGGGUUUCAACGUGCUGGAAGAGAUGAUACAAAAACAACCUGAAAAGCUGAUUUCAACCCUUGUCGUUCUACUCUGUAAUGCCUUGUGUAUACCAGCAGAGAAGGCAGAGCUAAUGGUGAGCUUCAUCCAAGCCAGCAAACCCUCUGUGCAGUGCGGCCUCCUACGGACAGGCAGACAGGACAUGGUUAUCCCAGCAGGUCAGGUAGCCUGGGUUAAGUGCCAAGUCCCUCCCCUCAUGAGUUCAUCAGACACAGUCUUCCUAUUUGAGCCUGAUGAUGAUAAUGUGCAGUUGACAGAACUGGACGUGGGUGAAGGUCUGUUGGAGGUACAAAAUCCAAGAAAACCUUAUGUAGCUGUACCUGUGGGUAACAACACUAAACAUGCAGUAACUCUUCCAAGAAAGACAGCACUUGGUGGCAUCCACUGUGUUGAAAAAGUGAUCGCAACAGACUCACCUGAAGCACCCGAGCCCACAGUGACUGUUAACAGUGCCGUAUCAACACCUGUUGACGCCCAUCCAUCAUCAUGGCAACCUCCCAUCAACCUCAGUCACCUUGAUGAUAAACAAAGGGAAAAAGUCAACAAAAUGCUGUGUGAAGAAGCCGGGGCUUUCGCACGUGACUGCGAUGAUAUUGGAUGCAUACCAAGCUUACAAAUGUCGAUUACCCUCACAGAUGAGAUUCCUGUACAGAGAGCAUACUCAGCAGUCCCGAAGCCACUGUUUAAAGAGGUAAAGGAGUACGUGCAGGAGCUGCUGAUGAGAGGCUGGAUUGUUAAAUCUAAGUCCCCUUAUGCUGCCCCAGUUGUCUGUGUUAGGAAGAAGGAUGGCAGCCUACGUCUUUGUAUCGAUUAUCGGCUACUGAACAAAAAGACUGUGCCUGAUCGACAUCCACUACCCAGAAUACAAGACCUGACAGACACACUGGGGGGCUACACCUGGUUUAGCAUCCUAGACCAGGGUAAAGCUUACCAUCAGGGUUUCAUCGCCGAGGGUUCACGUCACCUGACUGCCUUCGUCACCCCGUGGGGCCUCUACGAAUGGGUCCGUAUCCCAUUCGGACUCUCAAAUGCCCCAGCAGCAUUUCAGCGGAGCAUGGAGGAGGUGCUAGGCCCCCUCAGGGAUGAAUGCUGCAUCCCUUAUCUGGAUGACGUGCUCUGUUACGCGAGAACAUUCGAUGAACAUGUGGAGGCCCUCCGCAAAGUGCUCCAGGCUCUUCAACAUCACGGAGUAAAACUGAGACCUGAAAAGUGUGAGCUUUUCAGACACGAAUUCAGAUACGUGGGGCGCCUUGUGUCAGCUGAUGGUAUCAAGAUAGAUCCACGGGACCUUGAAGCAGUCAAAACCUUGACAAGCAAGACACCACAGACAGUUGGCGAAGUAAGGAAACUGACCGGCUUCUUGGGAUAUUAUCGCUCCUACAUCCAGGAUUUUCCAGGAUCGCGAAGCCAAUCUAUGAGCUUCUCCAAACUAAAUCGGGGAAAGCCCAGAUUUCAACAUGUGGGAAAACCACCAAACGCCCACAGCUGCCUUCACGACAGCCUGUUGACUGGACCACUCAACAUCAGGAAGCUUUAG
Molecule: long non-coding RNA, 1977 nt
Organism: Carassius auratus (goldfish)
Lineage: Eukaryota; Metazoa; Chordata; Actinopteri; Cypriniformes; Cyprinidae
Source: Ensembl